UGACUACGCAUAUUACUGUAUUAGAGGUAAAAAAAAUUAUAUAAAUACUGUUCGGCUUCUCGCACAAACCGAUCGUUUCGUUUCUUAGGAUAUCAAUGUGUCGUCACGAGCGGCAGGGUUUAAUUUGGAUUUGUCUGUGCAUGUUUUUACUGUCUGAGAUUUUGUUACUAUUCACAUGCAUACAGACUGAAACGGUUGGAGUUUCUACAUUUGUGUUGUACUGAAGAAACAAAAUCACAUACAUCUUGGAUGGCCUCGGGGUAAGCUGAUAAAUACAAAAAAUUCAUUUUAAGAUGAAUCCCGUACGUUGGCGGCUGUUUUAAACUGGGUGCUCGGCUCCGACCCUUUUGCCAGUAUGAAGCCGAUUUCAACGGUAACUGCAGAAAGCGUCAGCACGCUCAGCUCAUCACUGGAGUAACGUCUGUACAACGGGUGAGAUAAAACUCAACGCCUGACUGAAUCAUCCAUUCCCUUUUCGAUCCUACGCCAUACGUUAAACUUGAGGUAAUCUUGCUUUUGCUGUUCUAAAAUAAACACUGCUCUUAGCACACCACCCAUACAUGGCACACAAAACAGGUCUUGUGAGGGGGCUGUGCCCACAGGUAGAAAUUCUGUAGGUCCACGGGCUUCUCCCCUUUCAGCGAACAUCACAGCGCUUAGUCCACCAUCGUGGUCUCCAAUCUCCAUUACCAACAGCCUGAGUGCUACACCUACAGACACCCCAACCCAUGCAGCAGCUGGCAGAAGUCAGACAUCAGGCCAAACUGGAUUUCAACACACCCCACCCUUACAUGGCACACAAGUAUAUGACACACAACACAGGUCUUCUCAGGAGGCUGUGCCUACAGCAAUAGGCUUUAUGCCCAGCUGCACUACUUCCUGAACUUCAGCCAGCUCCUUGUUUCCUGUCUGCCAUUAUUGGACAAACUGAUUAAUCCAGGUGUGCCUGAGCUUAGUAGUCACAACAACAAUAAUCAGACACACCUGGAUUUAUCAGUUUGUCCAGUAAUGGCAGACAGGAAACAAGGAGCUUAAAGCCUAUUGCUAAGGAGAUCCUCAUCCAGCUCGAUUUUAUUAGAGAGCAGCAGUUGCAGACUUCACCCCAGACCCAACACAUUUUGGGCUCCCACUUUCAACUAUUGAGGAGCUACAAUGUUUGUAGGAGACAUUAAAUAAUCCAGAUGAGAAGAAGAAUUUGGUGAGACUGUGUUUCCUGCAAUGGUCGGAGACAAGACUCUUAAAGACACCGUGGGGUGGGUCCUGAAAAAAACAAUGAACUCUUCGUGGUGAGACUCAUCAAUUGAAGUGGGGUCAACUGAACGCCUGCAUUCAAAGGGCUCACUUUGAAAAGUGUGGUUUUGGAUGCAGUCCGCCGGAAUGCCCUGACCAAAGAUAACACAGAAAAGGAGAUAGAGCUCCUCAUCACCAGGUGGUCGGUGCUAGCAUAUGACAGGGAUGGUGGCCGAAUCCAGACAAUAGACAGACAAUGAAUUAAAAUGUUUUAAAUUUAAAAAUGUUGAUUUUUGGAAAAUUCGUAUUUGAACUGAUUGUGUGUGUGUGUGUGCACCUGGUAAUUAUCACGUUGUGUCCCCACAAAGAUAGGAAUACCAGUAUUUUUGUGACCUUGUGUCCCCAUGAGGAAACAAGCUUAUAAAUCAAACAAAAUGAUGUUUCUUGUAAAUGUGAAGUAGGAGAAGGGUUUCUGUGAUGGUUGGGUUUAGGGAAUGGGGUAGGUAAGGGGAAUAAAAUAUACAGUUUGUAUGGUAUAAAAUGCAUUACGUCUAUGGAAUGUCCCCACAAAACAUGGAAACCUGUUUGUGUGUACGAGAGAGAGAGAAUGUGUGUUCAAGUGAAUAAAAAAUGCAUUAAACGUGAAA
This is a long non-coding RNA of Paramisgurnus dabryanus, 1877 nucleotides long. RefSeq lists it as uncharacterized. NCBI's taxonomy places the organism in Eukaryota, Metazoa, Chordata, Actinopteri, Cypriniformes, Cobitidae. The record is from RefSeq and is a predicted model, not a curated record.